ACUAAGCGUACACGGUGGAUGCCCUGGCAGUCAGAGGCGAUGAAGGACGUGCUAAUCUGCGAAAAGCGUCGGUAAGGUGAUAUGAACCGUUAUAACCGGCGAUGUCCGAAUGGGGAAACCCAGUGCAAUUCGUUGCACUAUCGUUAACUGAAUACAUAGGUUAACGAGGCGAACCGGGGGAACUGAAACAUCUAAGUACCCCGAGGAAAAGAAAUCAACCGAGAUUCCCCCAGUAGCGGCGAGCGAACGGGGAGCAGCCCAGAGUCUGAAUCAGCUUGUGUGUUAGUGGAACGGUCUGGAAAGUCCGACGGUACAGGGUGAUAGUCCCGUACACCAAAAUGCACAGGCUGUGAACUCGAAGAGUAGGGCGGGACACGUGGUAUCCUGUCUGAAUAUGGGGGGACCAUCCUCCAAGGCUAAAUACUCCUGACUGACCGAUAGUGAACCAGUACCGUGAGGGAAAGGCGAAAAGAACCCCGGCGAGGGGAGUGAAAAAGAACCUGAAACCGUGUACGUACAAGCAGUGGGAGCACCUUCGGGUGUGACUGCGUACCUUUUGUAUAAUGGGUCAGCGACUUAUAUUCUGUAGCAAGGUUAACCGUAUAGGGGAGCCGCAGGGAAACCGAGUCUUAACUGGGCGUUAAGUUGCAGGGUAUAGACCCGAAACCCGGUGAUCUAGCCAUGGGCAGGUUGAAGGUUGGGUAACACUAACUGGAGGACCGAACCGACUAAUGUUGAAAAAUUAGCGGAUGACUUGUGGCUGGGGGUGAAAGGCCAAUCAAACCGGGAGAUAGCUGGUUCUCCCCGAAAGCUAUUUAGGUAGCGCCUCGUGAAUUCAUCUUCGGGGGUAGAGCACUGUUUCGGCUAGGGGGUCAUCCCGACUUACCAACCCGAUGCAAACUACGAAUACCGAAGAAUGUUAUCACGGGAGACACACGGCGGGUGCUAACGUCCGUCGUGAAGAGGGAAACAACCCAGACCGCCAGCUAAGGUCCCAAAGUCAUGGUUAAGUGGGAAACGAUGUGGGAAGGCACAGACAGCCAGGAUGUUGGCUUAGAAGCAGCCAUCAUUUAAAGAAAGCGUAAUAGCUCACUGGUCGAGUCGGCCUGCGCGGAAGAUGUAACGGGGCUAAACCAUGCACCGAAGCUGCGGCAGCGACACUAUGUGUUGUUGGGUAGGGGAGCGUUCUGUAAGCCUGCGAAGGUGUGCUGUGAGGCAUGCUGGAGGUAUCAGAAGUGCGAAUGCUGACAUAAGUAACGAUAAAGCGGGUGAAAAGCCCGCUCGCCGGAAGACCAAGGGUUCCUGUCCAACGUUAAUCGGGGCAGGGUGAGUCGACCCCUAAGGCGAGGCCGAAAGGCGUAGUCGAUGGGAAACAGGUUAAUAUUCCUGUACUUGGUGUUACUGCGAAGGGGGGACGGAGAAGGCUAUGUUAGCCGGGCGACGGUUGUCCCGGUUUAAGCAUGUAGGCUGGUUGUCCAGGCAAAUCCGGAUAAUCAAGGCUGAGGUGUGAUGACGAGGCACUACGGUGCUGAAGUAACAAAUGCCCUGCUUCCAGGAAAAGCCUCUAAGCAUCAGGUAACAUCAAAUCGUACCCCAAACCGACACAGGUGGUCAGGUAGAGAAUACCAAGGCGCUUGAGAGAACUCGGGUGAAGGAACUAGGCAAAAUGGUGCCGUAACUUCGGGAGAAGGCACGCUGGUGUGUAGGUGAAGCCCCUGCGGGUGGAGCUGAGACCAGUCGAAGAUACCAGCUGGCUGCAACUGUUUAUUAAAAACACAGCACUGUGCAAACACGAAAGUGGACGUAUACGGUGUGACGCCUGCCCGGUGCCGGAAGGUUAAUUGAUGGGGUUAUCCGUAAGGAGAAGCUCUUGAUCGAAGCCCCGGUAAACGGCGGCCGUAACUAUAACGGUCCUAAGGUAGCGAAAUUCCUUGUCGGGUAAGUUCCGACCUGCACGAAUGGCGUAAUGAUGGCCAGGCUGUCUCCACCCGAGACUCAGUGAAAUUGAACUCGCUGUGAAGAUGCAGUGUACCCGCGGCAAGACGGAAAGACCCCGUGAACCUUUACUAUAGCUUGACACUGAACAUUGAGCCUUGAUGUGUAGGAUAGGUGGGAGGCUUUGAAGCGUGGACGCCAGUCUGCGUGGAGCCAACCUUGAAAUACCACCCUUUAAUGUUUGAUGUUCUAACGUUGGCCCCUUACCGGGGUUGCGGACAGUGUCUGGUGGGUAGUUUGACUGGGGCGGUCUCCUCCCAAAGCGUAACGGAGGAGCACGAAGGUUAGCUAAUCCUGGUCGGACAUCAGGAGGUUAGUGCAAUGGCAUAAGCUAGCUUGACUGCGAGCGUGACGGCGCGAGCAGGUGCGAAAGCAGGUCAUAGUGAUCCGGUGGUUCUGAAUGGAAGGGCCAUCGCUCAACGGAUAAAAGGUACUCCGGGGAUAACAGGCUGAUACCGCCCAAGAGUUCAUAUCGACGGCGGUGUUUGGCACCUCGAUGUCGGCUCAUCACAUCCUGGGGCUGAAGUAGGUCCCAAGGGUAUGGCUGUUCGCCAUUUAAAGUGGUACGCGAGCUGGGUUUAGAACGUCGUGAGACAGUUCGGUCCCUAUCUGCCGUGGGCGCUGGAGAAUUGAGGGGGGCUGCUCCUAGUACGAGAGGACCGGAGUGGACGCAUCACUGGUGUUCGGGUUGUCAUGCCAAUGGCACUGCCCGGUAGCUAAAUGCGGAAGAGAUAAGUGCUGAAAGCAUCUAAGCACGAAACUUGCCCCGAGAUGAGUUCUCCCUGAGACUUUAAGUCUCCUGAAGGAACGUUAAAGACGAUGACGUUGAUAGGCCGGGUGUGUAAGCGCAGCGAUGCGUUGAGCUAACCGGUACUAAUGAACCGUGAGGCUUAACC
RNAcentral lists this ribosomal RNA (2891 nucleotides) under Klebsiella pneumoniae. RNAcentral's name for it is "bacterial LSU rRNA". It matches the Rfam family "Bacterial large subunit ribosomal RNA". Lineage: Bacteria; Pseudomonadati; Pseudomonadota; Gammaproteobacteria; Enterobacterales; Enterobacteriaceae. The record is from RNAcentral.